AAUAGAUACCCGGGUAGUCCACGCCGUAAACGAUGGAUACUAGCUGUUUGAGCGCAAGUUUGAGUGGCUAAGCGAAAGUGAUAAGUAUCCCACCUGGGGAGUACGGGCGCAAGCCUGAAACUCAAAGGAAUUGACGGGGGCCCGCACAAGCGGUGGAGCAUGUGGUUUAAUUCGAUGAUACGCGAGGAACCUUACCAGGGCUUAAAUGUAGAUUGACGUAUUUGGAAACAGAUAUUUCUUCGGACAAUUUACAAGGUGCUGCAUGGUUGUCGUCAGCUCGUGCCGUGAGGUGUCAGGUUAAGUCCUAUAACGAGCGCAACCCCUGUUGUUAGUUGCCAGCGAGUAAUGUCGGGAACUCUAGCAAGACUGCCAGUGUAAACUGUGAGGAAGGUGGGGAUGACGUCAAAUCAUCACGGCCCUUACGUCCUGGGGCCACACACGUGCUACAAUGGGCCGGUACAGAGAGCAGCCACUUAGCGAUAAGGAGCGAAUCUAUAAAGCCGGUCACAGUUCGGAUCGGAGUCUGCAAC
Molecule: ribosomal RNA, 530 nt
Filed under: uncultured bacterium
Lineage: Bacteria
Description: bacterial SSU rRNA
Rfam family: Bacterial small subunit ribosomal RNA
Source: RNAcentral